CACAGAGGCAACUGGAUUCCACGACCUUGAGCCAGGGAGCACAUGGAAGACCACCCAAAUCUACCAGAAGUUUGGUUAAAACCAAAAUGCUGGCAGCCAGGAGCAGCCAGGGAUGUUGCCACCCUAACUCAGGAAAGAGAGUUACCAGCUGCUGGCUUUAGAGAACGAACUUUUUUCUCCUGCUGCACCCUUAGAUCCAAAACUUUUCUAGACUCUGUUGGGCUUCCUGAUUACAAGUGAGAAAAAAAAAUCUCUGAUUUCUGAUCGUUUUUCUUCCCUCCCUCCCUCCCUCCCUCCCUCCUCCUCCCUCCCUCCCUCCCUUCCUUCCUUCCUUCCUUCCUUCCUUCCAGGUGUCACGUGUCCCAGGCUAACCUCAAAUUCCCUGUGUAGCAGAGGAUGCCCUUGUUCUUUUGAUCCUCCAACACCUCCCAAGUGCUGGGAGUAUAGUCAUAUGCCUCCAUGUCCUGUUUUUGCAGUGUUGGGGACAGAAGCCAGGGCUUUGUGCAUGACAGGCACAACCAAAAUAAUCCCAGUCCUAUAUUAUUUUUCUUCUUUAACAGGGGAUAACAAGAGCACAGUGGAAGGAGGGUUUCUAUGUGUGGCGCUAGAGAUUUCCCACAAGAGAUUUCCUCUUUAAACACUGAAUGGACGACAAUUGCUUCAGCAGCCAUACUGGGCAGAGAAGGCUUCAGAAUGAAAGAUGAAUUAGUUUGCCAGGACUACGAUGACACAAUGCAACAAACUGGGAAAAUAAACAGAUCUUGGGAGGAGAUUGCCAUGUAAAAACACAGAUUUGGAAGGAAAACACAGACUCAGGAGGAAGAAAGUUUGUUUAUAUGGUGAAUCACAUCAAUUAAUUUACAUGUUUUGAGUUAUCCCUGUAUCUUUGGGAUGAAGCCUACUUGAUCAUGAUUUUCUUUAUAAAAUUUUGAAUUCAUAAGAUGUCAUGACACCUCAUUUUGAUGGAAUGAACCUUUAAGCCUUCAUCCAGAAGCUGAUGGAAAUAGAAGCAGACACCCACAGCUAAACACUGAACUGAACUGGAAUCCAGUCACAGAGAGGGAGGAGUGAUGAGCAAAAGGGUCAAGACCAGGCUGGUGAAACCCACAGAAACAGCUGACCUGAACAAGGAGGAGCUCAUGGUCCCCAGACUGAUAGCUGGGAAACCAGCAUGGGACUGAUCCAGAUCCCAUGAACAUGGGUGUCAGUGAGGAGACCUCGGAAAUCUAUGGGGCCUCUUGUAGUAGAUCAGUACUUAUCCUUAGCAUAGGAAUGGACUUUGGGAGCCCAUUCCACAUAGAGGGAUACUCCUUCAACCUAGAUACAUGGGGAAGGGCCUAGGCCCUAUCCCAAAGGAUGUGACAGAUCCUGAAGACACCUUCCAUGGAAGGCCUCACCCUUCCUGGGGAGCAGAUAUGGUAUGGGAUAGAUAGGGUGUUAGUAGGAGG
Molecule: long non-coding RNA, 1448 nt
Filed under: Cricetulus griseus (Chinese hamster)
Lineage: Eukaryota; Metazoa; Chordata; Mammalia; Rodentia; Cricetidae
Description: lncRNA (ENSCGRG00015038849.1)
Source: RNAcentral